AACCUGCCCUCUGUAAUAUAAAUGGCCGCAGUAUUUUGACUGUGCUAAGGUAGCAUAAUCAUUAGUUUUUUAAUUGAAAGCUGGAAUGAAAGGUUGAAUAAAAAAAUAUCUUUAUUUUAUUAAAAUAAUUAAAAUUUUAUUUUUAAGUUAAAAAGCUUAAAUUUUUAUUAAAGACGAGAAGACCCUAUAGAGUUUUAUAUAUAAUUUUUUACUAUAAUUUAGUAAUUUAAUUAAUUAAGAUUUUUAUAUAUUUAAUUGGGGUGAUUUAAAAAUUAAUAAAACUUUUUUUAUAUAAUUAUAUUUUUUAUAGAUUUAUGAUUUUAAUGUUUAGAUUAUAAGAAUAAAUUACCUUAGGGAUAACAGCGUAAUUUUAUUAGAGAGUUCAAAUUGAAAAUAAAGAUUGCGACCUCGAUGUUGGAUUAAAAUUUAUUUUUGGUGUAGAAGCUAAAUUA
This 452-nucleotide ribosomal RNA is filed under the name Cangshanaltica sp. AFD-235. Its description in RNAcentral is "partial large subunit ribosomal RNA". The record is from RNAcentral. Lineage: Eukaryota; Metazoa; Arthropoda; Insecta; Coleoptera; Chrysomelidae.